RNAcentral lists this transfer RNA (77 nucleotides) under Hyphomonas sp. RNAcentral describes it as "tRNA-Arg". It matches the Rfam family "tRNA". From Rfam's summary of the family: Transfer RNA (tRNA) molecules are approximately 80 nucleotides in length. Their secondary structure includes four short double-helical elements and three loops (D, anti-codon, and T loops). The record is from RNAcentral. Lineage: Bacteria; Pseudomonadati; Pseudomonadota; Alphaproteobacteria; Hyphomonadales; Hyphomonadaceae. RNAcentral also lists the same sequence under 1 other name.
GAUCCCGUAGCUCAGCAGGAUAGAGCGACAGAUUCCUAAUCUGUAGGCCGCGCGUUCGAAUCGCGCCGGGAUCACCA